UAAAAUUUCGUCUUGUUAUAACUCUUGACGUGUCGACGCUCGCUGCAAAGGCGACGACGCUGUUGGAGUGUUUGUCGCUGCUGCCAGCCGGGAAGAGCAAGAAGGGGAAAGGGGAUGGCCGCCGACGCCGCCUACGUGAAGCGGGUGCUGCUCGCCUGCAACGGCGGCGGCGACGCCGUCUCGCGGGGGGUCGCCGUCGGCCUAGCCAGGCACGGCUGCAGGCUGGUCCUGGUGGGCGACGAGGGCGCCCUGGCCGCGACGGCGGAGGAGGCGCGGCGCUGCGCGGCCGGAGGGGCGGCGGCCGUCGCGGUGGUUGGGCUGGACUUCGCGGCCUGCGACGAGGCGGCCUGGCGCUGCUUCGGGGACGGCGGACUCGACGCCCUGGUCAACUGCUGCUCCUACGAGGGGGAAGUGCAAGACUGCCUCAGCGUGACUGAAGAUGAGUACAACAAGACCAUGAAAGUCAAUGUAAUCACACCCUGGCUUCUGAUAAAGGCGAUCGCCAAGCGGUUCCGCGAUGCGCAGUCCGGCGGCUCUGUGGUAUGCUUGACCCAGAUCAUCGGCGCCGAGAGAGGAUUGUAUCCGGGGGCGGCGGCAUAUGGCACAAGUUUAGGCGCCGUUCACCAGCUCGUCAGACUAUCGGCGAUGGAGCUCGGCAAGCACAAGAUCAGGGUGAAUGCCGUCUGCCGCGGCCUCCACCUGGGGGACAAGUUCCCUGUCUCUGUUGGGGAGGAGAAGGCCGAGAAGGCGACCAGGGAGGUAAUGCCGCUGCGGCGGUGGCUGGACCCAGAGAAGGACCUCGCUUCCACGGUGCUGUACCUGGUCGGCGACGACUCCCGCUUCAUGACAGGCACCACCAUCUACGUCGACGGCGCACAGUCCAUAGUGCGCCCUCGCAUGCGUUCCUUCCUGUAGAGUAAAGAUCAAAUUUGAAAAGGACUACCCAGAAGCAACAUGAGCGGCACAGCAGGCCCCUCUUCAGAUUAAAAGUUUUUGAAGAACAAUCUGCUAAACUUUAUUAAAGGAGAGUAAUGUUUACAGGGACUCAUACAGGAUCAUAACCAUCAUCGCCGACAUCAAAACAAACUCUUGAAACUGAUUGUAUGCCUUAAUAGUUCUGGAACGAGAUACGCAAAGCCCAUCACAUAAAAUUGGAGCAAAACUUCAGGUGAAAGAACGGGUAAUGAUGUGGAGUGAGUCAGCAUAGGAUGCACAAUUGCUUGGUGGGUUGGUUGGUUCACUCGUCCUUCUCCGCCAGCGCAGCCUUGCGGCUGCUCCUCUCAGCGAGGACCGACUUGGUCUUCUCCAGCACGCCGAAGAAGAUGGACCCGCCGA
This 1335-nucleotide ribosomal RNA is filed under the name Triticum aestivum (bread wheat). Its description in RNAcentral is "partial small subunit ribosomal RNA". The record is from RNAcentral. Lineage: Eukaryota; Viridiplantae; Streptophyta; Magnoliopsida; Poales; Poaceae.